RNAcentral lists this ribosomal RNA (512 nucleotides) under uncultured Acidobacteriaceae bacterium. RNAcentral describes it as "bacterial SSU rRNA". It matches the Rfam family "Bacterial small subunit ribosomal RNA", at positions 8 to 504 of the family's 1533-position model. Lineage: Bacteria; Pseudomonadati; Acidobacteriota; Terriglobia; Terriglobales; Acidobacteriaceae. The record is from RNAcentral.
AGAGUUUGAUCCUGGCUCAGAAUGAACGCUGGCGGCGUGCUUAACACAUGCAAGUCGAGCGCGAAGACGACUUCGGUCGUCGGAGAGCGGCGCACGGGUGAGUAACACGUGGAUAACCUGCCUGAGCAUGGGGAAUAACUUGGGGAAACCUGAGCUAAUACCGCAUACGUCCACCGGGUGCUUCUCGGUGAAGAAAGACCGCCUAUUCUUGAAAGCGGUCGUGCUCAGAGGGGUCCGCGGCUGAUUAGCUAGUUGGUGAGGUAAUGGCUCACCAAGGCGACGAUCAGUAGCCGGCCUGAGAGGGUGAUCGGCCACACUGGAACUGAGACACGGUCCAGACUCCUACGGGAGGCAGCAGUGGGGAAUAUUGGACAAUGGGCGAAAGCCUGAUCCAGCAACGCCGCGUGGAGGAUGAAGGCCUUCGGGUUGUAAACUCCUGUCAGGUGGAACGAAAAAGCCUGCCCAACAAGCAGGUUCUAUGACGGUACCACCAGAGAGCCACGAUUUUGUCC